Molecule: ribosomal RNA, 229 nt
Filed under: uncultured bacterium
Lineage: Bacteria
Description: partial 16S ribosomal RNA
Rfam family: Bacterial small subunit ribosomal RNA
Source: RNAcentral
CUCGCAGGCGGCGCAUUAAGUCAGUGGUGAAAUCUCUCGGCUCAACCGAGAAACUGCCAUUGAUACUGGUAUGCUAGAGUAUAGUUGGCGUAGGCGGAAUGUAUCAUGUAGCGGUGAAAUGCUUAGAUAUGAUACAGAACACCGAUCGCGAAGGCAGCUUACGAAACUAUAACUGACGCUCAGGAACGAAAGCGUGGGGAGCGAACAGGAUUAGAUACCCUGGUAGUCC